Molecule: ribosomal RNA, 377 nt
Filed under: uncultured bacterium
Lineage: Bacteria
Description: bacterial SSU rRNA
Rfam family: Bacterial small subunit ribosomal RNA
Source: RNAcentral
UAAUACGGAGGGUGCGAGCGUUAAUCGGAAUUACUGGGCGUAAAGCGCACGUAGGCGGUUGGGUAAGUCGGAUGUGAAAGCCCUGGGCUUAACCUGGGAACUGCAUUCGAAACUGCCCGGCUAGAGUAUGGGAGAGGGAAGCGGAAUUUCCGGUGUAGCGGUGAAAUGCGUAGAUAUCGGAAGGAACACCAAUGGCGAAGGCAGCUUCCUGGCCCAAUACUGACGCUCAGGUGCGAAAGCGUGGGGAUCAAACAGGAUUAGAUACCCUGGUAGUCCACGCUGUAAACGAUGAGAACUAGAUGUUGGGAGGGUUUUGCCUCUCAGUGUCGCAGCUAACGCGUGAAGUAGACCGCCUGGGGAGUACGGUCGCAAGAUUA